RNAcentral lists this ribosomal RNA (492 nucleotides) under uncultured bacterium. Its description in RNAcentral is "partial 16S ribosomal RNA". It matches the Rfam family "Bacterial small subunit ribosomal RNA", at positions 29 to 507 of the family's 1533-position model. The record is from RNAcentral.
AGUGAACGCUGGCGGUAGGCCUAACACAUGCAAGUCGAACGGCAGCACAGUAAGAGCUUGCUCUUACGGGUGGCGAGUGGCGGACGGGUGAGGAAUACAUCGGAAUCUACUUUUUCGUGGGGGAUAACGUAGGGAAACUUACGCUAAUACCGCAUACGACCUACGGGUGAAAGCAGGGGAUCUUCGGACCUUGCGCGAUUGAAUGAGCCGAUGUCGGAUUAGCUAGUUGGCGGGGUAAAGGCCCACCAAGGCGACGAUCCGUAGCUGGUCUGAGAGGAUGAUCAGCCACACUGGAACUGAGACACGGUCCAGACUCCUACGGGAGGCAGCAGUGGGGAAUAUCGGACAAUGGGCGCAAGCCUGAUCCAGCCAUACCGCGUGGGUGAAGAAGGCCUUCGGGUUGUAAAGCCCUUUUGUUGGGAAAGAAAAGCAGCAGGUUGAUACCCCGCUGUUCUGACGGUACCCAAAGAAUAAGCACCGGCUAACUUCGUG